UGGGGAAUAUUGCACAAUGGGGGAAACCCUGAUGCAGCGACGCCGCGUGAGUGAAGAAGUAUUUCGGUAUGUAAAGCUCUAUCAGCAGGGAAGAAGAAAGACGGUACCUGACUAAGAAGCCCCGGCUAACUACGUGCCAGCAGCCGCGGUAAUACGUAGGGGGCAAGCGUUAUCCGGAUUUACUGGGUGUAAAGGGAGCGUAGACGGCUGUGCAAGUCUGAAGUGAAAGCCCAGGGCUCAACCCUGGGACUGCUUUGGAAACUGUGGGGCUAGAGUGCUGGAGAGGUAAGUGGAAUUCCUAGUGUAGCGGUGAAAUGCGUAGAUAUUAGGAGGAACACCAGUGGCGAAGGCGGCUUACUGGACAGUAACUGACGUUGAGGCUCGAAAGCGUGGGGAGCAAACAGG
Molecule: ribosomal RNA, 405 nt
Filed under: uncultured bacterium
Lineage: Bacteria
Description: bacterial SSU rRNA
Rfam family: Bacterial small subunit ribosomal RNA
Source: RNAcentral